This 1669-nucleotide long non-coding RNA is filed under the name Homo sapiens (human). Its description in RNAcentral is "novel transcript". The record is from RNAcentral. Lineage: Eukaryota; Metazoa; Chordata; Mammalia; Primates; Hominidae.
GGACACAACCUGUGGAAGGCUAGGCAGGGAGUCAGGAAAGGCUGGAGUCACCAUGGUUAAAGGACUAUAGACCAGUUGUUAAUAUGAGAAAUAUAGCCAGGAGAUGACUCUAACACAACGCUAACAGGAAGGACUGCAACCUGGAACAAGGAGAGACAAAGGGAAGGAGGAGUCUGGAGCCAUAUUGAAGAUGAAAUUGAGAUAUGGACUAGGUGGUGGAUCGUUUUUAUAAGAGGACAUAAAAGAGGAUGCUAAAGCUAAUUGCCACAAUCAGAACUCAAAGACCUAGCAAAUGCAAGGUGGUAUUUAUUCUAAACUCAGCAAAGUAGUAGAAAAAUAGUUUUGAGAACAGUUUUAAGGAGACUAGGGUAACAGUGAGAAAAUAGUUCAUGGCUAGUCUGGACUUAGGACUUUAGGGUCGGCCUGGUGAAUUGAAGGGAAGCAGCUGAUACACUCUGGUUGCCUUGUACCCUGGCUUUUGGUGCUUUCCCAUGUGCUGUAGUCAUCAGUAAUCUGGAGGAAAUGCUAUAGAGGCAAAGACACCAUUAGAUGGGUGCUCAACUAGCAAACAGGAUGUGACCACAGAGUAGUUACCCCAAGACCAGGUCAGCAUGACCCAAAAGGCAGAAGAGGACAAGGUUUAUGAGUGUUGGGCUGAGCUCACGCCUGCUUGAACAUCUCAAGAACAAUGUUAAUGAUGGAAGAGAGAGAUAGGAGAGGAAACUCAUUAAACUUGCCAAAUAUGAGAUGUAGCUGGGUUGGCUCUAUGUAAGCAUGGCAGAAAAGCAUUUAGAAGUCAUAAUACAUUUAAAAUAAGAGCUACCAGCAUAGCAGUGACAUGAAGAAGGCAUGUGUUUUGUUAAAAAGUUUUAAAUACUCCUAUAAAAGAUAGUAAGGUACAAGUUGUUUGCUUGAUCAGCAAUGCUAAUUGCCUUUGAAGUGCAUGCCUGGGGAUUCCAUGGAGAGAGGACCCUGUUUCUCCACCCCAACCCAAAUUCACUGAGUUUAUGUCAGAAUGUUCAGAAGCCCCUUUACAAAUUCCUCUGAUUGCCUUGUUAGACACUGGCCACCUCCCUGAACCUGGGCCAAGAUGAGGGUCUACACCUUGGCUUAGUUCUACUAUGAAAGACUUUCCUGCAGUAAAAGUUACCUGUCUGAAACAUUCAGAAGAGUGAAAAUGCCACAUCUCCAAUUUCCAGCAAUAUAUUUGUCUGCCAUGAUUUGGCCUGGAAGCUUAAGCAGGAAGACCACUUGGAGCCAGACUUCAGAGUGAUCUGUCUCUAAGGAAUAACUUUCAUAUUGCAGCGUUCGGUUUUGCAAUUCUUCCUAAGCUACUCUAAAUUCGCAGCAUAAAUCUGCAGAAAGACUUCACCCUCCACAUCAAACCCUUAUAAGGAUCCAUUUCUGCUCUCAUUUUAGAAUAUCUUUUCUAAUAGCUAAAGGCAGACAGAGGCAAACCAAGAAAUCCAGACUUUGCAUCAACGGGUUAAAUCAUAUGUCAAAGGUGCAACCAUAACGUAUUACAAGCUUCUCAUCACAUAAUACAUCACUCAAGAAAAAAUAUUUGGGCAGCUUUUCUAAUUCAUCUUCCUGGUGUUAAAGGAGCACAUCUCCAGUGUUCGUGUCUUCUGUUUCAAUUAAAGCAAUCAUGCCUACUCUUUUAGGAAAC